UUCUGUAAUUCCCCUGAAAUCUGGCAUUAACUAACUUUCUUUCCACCUGCCUCAAUUCCCCGGUAAAUCCCAGGCUGAAGUCACCCCACCCAACCACCCCUUGCAUGAAAAGGUUGCUAACAGAUGGCCGCCUAACCAGAAGCAACGCCAAGAAAUCAUUUGGAAACAGAACUUAGCAACAGACAUGCACAGAAGAACCUUUCCCAAAAGGGAUGCCAAUAUGCAGGUGGGCUCUACAGCCAGCAGGACAGUCUAUGUGCCCAGGAGCGAGGAGAAGAUCCCCAUCUUCCCUGCAGACCCCAUGGCCUGUGCCAGGAGGGGACGCAUGUCAUGAGGAAAGGCAGGCAGGGAGCUGGGUAGAGAGCAACACGAAGAGGGCAGAGUCAGGAGGCAACAAAGUCAGGCAAGCCCCAGCAAGGAAGAAGACGGACGGACGGACGGAUGGACGGACGGAUGGAUGGAAGGAAGGAAAGAAGGAAAGAAGGAAGGAGAUGGGCUAUUGUAUGCUCUCACGAGAAAUUCUUGGUCUGAAGUAAUUACUUGUGUUUUUUUUUCUCCCCUGCUGAAACAAGCCAAUCUCCUUCCAACUGUUUCCCCUCCCAUUAUACCAAGUCAGAAGAAAUCUCUGCUAGCCCAGUGCAUGCCUUUCCUGCACCACCAUUUUUGGCUUUAUUUAUACUAUAAUCAUUUCACUACAGUACAAAACUGUCUUCUUCUCAUGGGCUGAAUAAUUCUCCAAGAG
RNAcentral lists this long non-coding RNA (742 nucleotides) under Phasianus colchicus (ring-necked pheasant). RNAcentral describes it as "lncRNA (ENSPCLG00000003673.1)". The record is from RNAcentral. Lineage: Eukaryota; Metazoa; Chordata; Aves; Galliformes; Phasianidae.